GUCUAUGGCCAUGCCGCCCUGAACAAGCCUGAUGUCUGAUCUUGGAAGCUAAGCAGGGUUGGGCCUGGUUAGUACUUGGAUGGGAGACCACCUAGGAAGACCAGGUGCUGUAGGCA
RNAcentral lists this ribosomal RNA (116 nucleotides) under Pteropus alecto (black flying fox). Lineage: Eukaryota; Metazoa; Chordata; Mammalia; Chiroptera; Pteropodidae. The record is from RNAcentral.